RNAcentral lists this ribosomal RNA (253 nucleotides) under uncultured bacterium. RNAcentral's name for it is "partial 16S ribosomal RNA". It matches the Rfam family "Bacterial small subunit ribosomal RNA", at positions 524 to 776 of the family's 1533-position model. The record is from RNAcentral.
UACGUAGGGGGCAAGCGUUGUCCGGAAUCAUUGGGCGUAAAGAGCGCGUAGGCGGCCCGAUAAGUCCGCUGUGAAAGUCAAGGGCUCAACCCUUGAAUGCCGGUGGAUACUGUCGGGCUAGAGUCCGGAAGAGGCGAGUGGAAUUCCUGGUGUAGCGGUGAAAUGCGCAGAUAUCAGGAGGAGCACCAAUGGCGAAGGCAGCUCGCUGGGACGGUACUGACGCUGAGGCGCGAAAGCGUGGGGAGCAAACAGG